This 420-nucleotide long non-coding RNA is filed under the name Rattus norvegicus (Norway rat). RNAcentral's name for it is "long non-coding RNA NONRATT026397". The record is from RNAcentral. Lineage: Eukaryota; Metazoa; Chordata; Mammalia; Rodentia; Muridae.
GGUAUUUGGCCCAGUCGCCUAUCGCCUGGUAGUGGGACCGGAAGUUACUCCGGAGGGGGGGGAUGGCCGUGAUGGGGGGGGCUCCGGGGGGGGGUCGGUCCCUCCUCAGGUGAAGCCCCUGAUGGAGAUGGAGCCGCCACCGCUGAACACCCGGAUCCCGGCUUCGGCCUGGCUGCCGCCGCCUCAGUGACCCCAUCCCCCAGCGCUGGGCCACCUGGGCCAAGAGUGGGGGACUCCCCACCCCUCUUAUCCCACCCGACGCGGUCCUUCUCCCUCAACCCCCAACAGCCUGCGCGCGCGCGCGGAGACGCCUCAGCAGGAGCUUCUGAAGAUGGACAUAGAAGACUGCAAUGGCCGCUCCUACAUGUCUGGUAGCGGGGACUCAUCUCUCGAGAAGGAGUUCCUUGGGGCCCCAGUGGG